GGUCCGCUGAAGGUUACACCAUUUAUGGUCGAGUGAAGAUCCCCAACAAUUUAGAAACAAAAGACUAUAUAAUUCCUGGAAAAGUGUCGAAUGUCAAAGUCAUACUCAAUGGUGGUCAGAGAGUUACUUUUUUGAGGCUUGAUGGAUAUUUCUCAUUCCACAAUGUCCCAAAUAUUUCUUGAUGGAUGCUUCAUGAGAUCUGAAAAUUAUAGCUUCUUUGAUGAGUAUGCAGGGCCAGGGGAUA
Arachis duranensis is the source of this 244-nucleotide long non-coding RNA. RefSeq lists it as uncharacterized. The transcript is spliced from 3 exons. The record is from RefSeq and is a predicted model, not a curated record. NCBI's taxonomy places the organism in Eukaryota, Viridiplantae, Streptophyta, Magnoliopsida, Fabales, Fabaceae.